Molecule: unclassified non-coding RNA, 400 nt
Filed under: uncultured fungus
Lineage: Eukaryota; Fungi
Description: sequence contains ITS1
Source: RNAcentral
CCGUCAAUUCAUUUAAGUUUUAGUCUUGCGACCGUACUCCCCAGGCGGUCUACUUAUCGCGUUAGCUGCGCCACUAAAGCCUCAAAGGCCCCAACGGCUAGUAGACAUCGUUUACGGCAUGGACUACCAGGGUAUCUAAUCCUGUUUGCUCCCCAUGCUUUCGUACCUCAGCGUCAGUAUUAGGCCAGAUGGCUGCCUUCGCCAUCGGUAUUCCUCCAGAUCUCUACGCAUUUCACCGCUACACCUGGAAUUCUACCAUCCUCUCCCAUACUCUAGCUUCCCAGUAUCGAAUGCAAUUCCUAAGUUAAGCUCAGGGAUUUCACAUCCGACUUAAAAAGCCGCCUACGCACGCUUUACGCCCAGUAAAUCCGAUUAACGCUCGCACCCUCUGUAUUACCGC